UUUUUUUUGAGAUGGAUUCUCGCCCUGUCGCCCAGGCUGGAGUGUAGUGGCAUGAUCUCAGCUCACUGCGACCUCUGCCUCCUGGGUUCAAGUGAUUCUCCUGCUCCAGCCUCCUGGGUAGCUGGGAUUACAGGCGCAUGUCACCACACCCAGCUAAUUAUUUUAUCUUUAGUAGAGAUGGGGUUUCACCAUGUUGGCCAGGCUGUUCUCGAACUCCCGACCUCGUGAUCCACUCGCCUCGGCCUCCCAAAGUGCUGGGAUUACAGGCGUGAGCCACCGUGCCCGGCCGCAGUUGCCCUAUGUUUUUAUGUAUUAUUUCAUUUCUUCUCUCACUCCUCCUCUACCCUAUUAUUUUAUACAGGGACUGAUGUUGUAAAUUAACAGACUUAGUAUUUAUGUUACACAGUAUUCUAACAGGACUGGCUGGCUUCCCAGAGCACACACUUUCACCCAGAAAGAGAUCGUAUUGAUCAGAGUGUGGUGGGGAAAGGAAGGUCACUUGUUUUUACGUGUGGUGGGGAAAGGAAGGUCACUUGUUUUUACAUGUGAUGGAAUAAAGGGUGGAAUAUAGACUCAGGAGGCGGCAUGGCUGGCGGAAGACCCGGCAUGGAAUACAGACUCAGGAGGCGGCAUGGCUGGCGGAAGACCCGGCAUGGAAUACAGACUCAGGAGGCGGCAUGGCUGGCGGAAGACCCGGCAGCAUGGAUGUUGGGGAAGCUGUCCCCACAGUGAGAAGACUUGAUGGUGGACAUGUCAGCUUAAAGCACCCAAGAAGAGGUCUCAAACGUUCUCCUGGCAGCUGUGUGUCUGCUUCUGGCUUCCGAAGUUCCUGUUUGAGAAGACAGCCGUCAUUCUGGGGGUUCCUGUUUGAGGAGACAGCCGUCGUCCUCGGGGUCCCUGUUUGAGGAGACAGCCGUCGUCCCCGGGGUUCCUGUUUGAGGAGACAGCCGUCGUCCCCGGGGCUCCUGUUAGAGAAGACAGCCGUCGUCCUCGGGGUUCCUGUUUGAGGAGACAGCCGUCGUCCUCGGGAUUCCUCUUUGAGGAGACAGCCGUCGUCCUCGUGGUCCCUGUUUGAGGAGACAGCCGUCGUCCUCGGGAUUCCUGUUUGAGGAGACAGCCGUCCUCCCCGGGGUCCCUGUUUGAGGAGACAGCCGUCGUCCUCGGGAUUCCUGUUUGAGGAGACAGCCGUCGUCCUCGUGGUCCCUGUUUGAGGAGACAGCCGUCGUCCUCGGGGUUCCUGUUUGAGGAGACAGCCGUCGUCCUCGGGGUUCCUGUUUGAGGAGACAGCCGUCGUCCUCGGGGUCCCUGUUUGAGGAGACAGCCGUCGUCCCCGGGGUCCCUGUUUGAGGAGACAGUCGUCGUCCUCGGGAUUCCUGUUUGAGGAGACAGCCGUCGUCCUCGGGGUUCCUGUUUGAGGAGACAGCCGUCGUCCCCGGGGUCCCUGUUUGAGGAGACAGCCGUCGUCCUCGGGAUUCCUGUUUGAGGAGACAGCCGUCGUCCUCGUGGUCCCUGUUUGAGGAGACAGCCGUCGUCCCCGGGGUCCCUGUUUGAGGAGACAGCCGUCAUCCCCGGGGUUCCUGUUUGAGGAGACAGCCGUCGUCCUCGGGGUUCCUGUUUGAGGAGACAGCCGUCGUCCCCGGGGUCCCUGUUUGAGGAGACAGCCGUCGUCCCCGGGGUCCCUGUUUGAGGAGACAGCCGUCGUCCUCGGGGUCCCUGUUUGAGGAGACAGCCGUCGUCCCCGGGGUUCCUGUUUGAGGAGACAGCCGUCGUCCUCGGGGUUCCUGUUUGAGGAGACAGCCGUCGUCCCCGGGGUUCCUGUUUGAGGAGACAGCCGUCGUCCUCGGGGUUCCUGUUUGAGGAGACAGCCGUCAUUCUUGGGGUCCCUGUUUGAGGAGACAGCUGUCGUCCUCGGGGUCCCUGUUCGAGGAGACAGCCGUCGUCCCCGGGGCUCCUGUUCGAGGAGACAGCCGUCAUCCUCGGGGUUCCUGUUUGAGGAGACAGCCGUCAUCCCCGGGGCUCCUGUUUGAGAAGACAGCCAUCAUCCUCGGGGUCCCUGUUUGAGGAGACAGCCGUCGUCCUCGGGGUUCCUGUUUGAGGAGACAGCCGUCGUCCCCGGGGCUCCUGUUUGAGGAGACAGCCGUCGUCCCCGGGGCUCCUGUUUGAGAAGACAGCCAUCGUCCUCGGGGUCCCUGUUUGAGGAGACAGCCGUCGUCCUCGGGGCUCCUGUUUGAGAAGACAGCCAUCAUCCUCAUGGUCCCUGUUUGAGGAGACAGCCGUCAUCCCCGGGGCUCCUGUUUGAGAAGACAGCCAUCAUCCUCGGGGUUCCUGUUCGAGGAGACAGCCGUUGUCCCCAGGGCUCCUGUUUGAGGAGACAGCCGUCGUCCUCGGGAUUCCUGUUUGAGGAGACAGCCAUCGUCCCCGGGGUCCCUGUUUGAGGAGACAGCCGUCGUCCCCGGGGUCCCUGUUUGAGGAGACAGCCGUCGUCCCCGGGGUCCCUGUUUGAGGAGACAGCCAUCGUCCCCGGGGUUCCUGUUUGAGGAGACAGCCAUCAUCCUCGUGGUCCCUGUUUGAGGAGACAGCCGUCGUCCCCGGGGUCCCUGUUUGAGGAGACAGCCGUCGUCCCCGGGGUCCCUGUUUGAGGAGACAGCCGUCGUCCCCGGGGUUCUCUAGUGCUAAGGUGUUUUUUUCUCCUGGCUGCAGCUAACAUUUUUCUCUUUUCCUUUAGUUUCAGCAGUUUGAUUAUGAUGUGACUAAAUAUGGUUUUCUCCAGUUUUAUACUUCAUGGAGUUUGAUAAGCCUAUUGAAUCUUGGGUUAAUGUCUCUUACCAAUUUUGGAAAAUUGGCUAUUAUCCAUCAAAAUAAUAUUGCUCCUAUCCCAUUCUCACCCUUCUCCUGGGAUUCCAAUACACAUGUUAGACAGUUGGAUCAGUACCAUAUGGCCCUCUUCUCUCUGUCUCUGUCUCUCUCUGUGCAUGUGUGUAUGUGGGUGUGUGUGUUUGUGUACUUUUAAUUCUAUCUUUUCUCUGUGCUUUAUUUUGGAUAAUUUCUAUGGACCUGUCUGAAACUUCAUCAAUCCUUUUUGCUACUAUAUGUUUAGUCUGCUCUUAAGCCCAUCCAAUGAGUUCUUAAUUUCAGGUAUUAUAUUAAUUGGUUAAUAUAAUAAACACUUAUUUUUAUUAUUUAUUUUAUUUUUAAUAACAAAUAAUGAGCACCUACUUUCAUAGCUUUCAUCUCUCUGUUGAAAUUCUCCAUCUUUUCAUCCAUUUUGUUCAUCCUUUCCUCCAUCUCAUUUCAUGUAUUUACAAGAAUAUUGUAAAGCAUUUGUCUGCUAAUUCUUUCAUCUGGGUUAUCUGUGCAUCUGCUUCUAUUGAAUAGCUUAUCUCUUGGUUGAAAAUCACACUCUCCUGUAAUUCUUAUAAUUUUUGGUAGUGUGCUAGAAAUUAUAUGCAAAAGAACCAAGAAACAUCAGUCUCUCCCCGCAGGUAGAGCUCUGCCGAUGACUAACCCGCCCUCAGCACCAUUCAGCUCCACUGCGAGAAAGGGGCCCCCCAAGACUGGCAGUUCCUUCAGAUUUGCACCCACCAUUUUCCAAUGCAUUUGAAAGAAAUGAUAAUUUUUGUACAUAAUUCCAUUUUUUCUCAUUGUUGAAAUAGAAAGGUUGGCUUCACACUCUUUCCUCAUGCUAACUGGACGUGAAAAUCUUGUCUUUUUGCAUUACAAAAUCUGGGAGUUAUUUGUCAUUAUGACUCAUUUUUUUCAUUUACAUUAUUCAUCUGUGGAUCUUUUUUCCUUAUUCAGUCUUGCCAGAUAUUUGUCUAAUUUUUGUUCCUUCAAACACACAGCCAUGGCUGUGCUGAUUUUUCUGUUUUGUUAAUAGGCAUUCUCAGUCCUGUCUCUUUUCUUCAGUUGAGUUUUGAAAUGUGGAGGUUGGACCCUGAGCUUGCUAACUUCAGGCUUCCCACCAGUUUCCCCCUAAUAACUCCAGCAUUGAUCACCUAAGAAAAAAGUCUCCCUCCUACUCACCAAAUAUCACUCUAAUGGCUGAGAACAUUAUUAAUUCAAAAAUAAGGCCAGGCACGGUGGCUCACGCCUGUAAUCCCAGCACCUUGGGAGGCCGAGGAGGGUGGAUCAUCUGAGGUCAGGGGUUCAAGACGAGCCUGGGCAACAUGAUGAAACCCCAUCUCUACUAAAAAUACAAAAAGUAGCCAGGCGUGGUGGUGCACAACUGUACUCCCAGCUACUUAGGAAGCUGAGACAGGAGAAUCACUUGAGCCCGGGAGACAGAAGUUGCAGUGAGCCAAGAUCACGUCACUGCACUCCAGCCUGGGCAACAGAACAAGACUCAAUCUCAGAGAAAAAAAGAAUUUAACCUUUCUUAUUUCCCAAUGCAAAUAUAUAGGGUUAGAUUUUUCUCAGGUACAGCUUUUACUGCAGCCCAAUAGUUUUGAUAGUAGUAUCUUAGUUUUAAUCAUUUCUAGGUAUUUUAAUUUCCAAUAUGACUUCUUCUUUAACUGUGGUUUAUUAGAAUAGUGGUUUUCAAUGUUUUAACAUGUGUAACUAUGUCACUGAUGCUUUUGUUAUGAACGUCUGUGCUGGGUCAGAGAAUAUUGUCAGUGUGGUAAAUGUGUCAGUUUGAAAAUGAUAACAAAAUCCUUGCUCACUGUUGCCUUGAAAAAAAAUGAAAAUGAUAACAAUCUGUACCUUUAGGACAAAAUGAAAGUACCGGACUCUCUGGUUCAAGAGCUCCCUGG
This 4751-nucleotide long non-coding RNA is filed under the name Homo sapiens (human). Its description in RNAcentral is "HSALNT0350651". The record is from RNAcentral. Lineage: Eukaryota; Metazoa; Chordata; Mammalia; Primates; Hominidae.